GAUGAACGCUGGCGGCGUGCCUAAUACAUGCAAGUCGAGCGAACAGACGAGGAGCUUGCUCCUCUGACGUUAGCGGCGGACGGGUGAGUAACACGUGGAUAACCUACCUAUAAGACUGGGAUAACUUCGGGAAACCGGAGCUAAUACCGGAUAAUAUAUUGAACCGCAUGGUUCAAUAGUGAAAGACGGUUUUGCUGUCACUUAUAGAUGGAUCCGCGCCGUAUUAGCUAGUUGGUAAGGUAACGGCUUACGAAGGCAACGAUGCGUAGCCGACCUGAGAGGGUGAUCGGCCACACUGGAACUGAGACACGGUCCAGACUCCUACGGGAGGCAGCAGUAGGGAAUCGUCCGCAAUGGGCGAAAGCCUGACGGAGCAACGCCGCGUGAGUGAUGAAGGUCUUCGGAUCGUAAAACUCUGUUAUUAGGGAAGAACAAAUGUGUAAGUAACUAUGCACGUCGUGACGGUACCUAAUCAGAAAGCCACGGCUAACUACGUG
RNAcentral lists this ribosomal RNA (497 nucleotides) under uncultured bacterium. RNAcentral's name for it is "partial 16S ribosomal RNA". It matches the Rfam family "Bacterial small subunit ribosomal RNA", at positions 28 to 507 of the family's 1533-position model. The record is from RNAcentral.